RNAcentral lists this unclassified non-coding RNA (1069 nucleotides) under Hevea brasiliensis (rubber tree). The record is from RNAcentral. Lineage: Eukaryota; Viridiplantae; Streptophyta; Magnoliopsida; Malpighiales; Euphorbiaceae.
AGAAACUCCAAUACAUGAAGAUUAAGCAAAACAACUUAGAUUUAUAGCAAGACAGAUAUCCAAUGUAACAAAAUAAAAAUCCAAAAUUGAAACAGUUGAGGCCUCAUAAUAAUGAAAAACACGGAGAAUCUUCAAAAUCUAAAAGACUUUUAAUUCAGUAUUGGCCAAAUGGCUCGCGUCGAUCCUCUUCUUCCCUAAUAACGUCCAAUUCCCCAAACUCUAAUCAGACCAUCUGUAUAGCCACUGAAAAGUGUGCUUCCAUCAGCACUCCAGCUCAAACUGGUGCAGUAUAUGACCUUGGUUUUGGAAUCGGUAGCAGCAGUUCCGAACAUUUCACUCUCUUGUUUCAGAUCAACUUUAAGAUCAACCACGAUGCUUUUGCUCUCCAAAUCCCAAAUCUUGAUACUAGAUUCAGUAGCAGCACAGAGCCAAUACCUAUUCGGGCUAAAACAGAGGGUGUGGAUAAUGGAGCCAGCAUCAAGAGAGUACAGUUUCUUCCCUUCAGCCAAAUCCCAUAGCAAUAUGACACCAUCUUUCCCUCCGCUAGCACACAACGAACCAUCUGGGGACACGGCCACAGUAUUCACAUACCCGCUGUGACCCGCAAGAGUAGACCUGAGCUUACAGUUGGUGAGAUUCCAGAUUUUGACAGUGCGAUCCCAUGAACCAGACACAAUAGUGGGCUGAAGAUUAUUUGGGCUAAAACGGACACAAGAAACCCAAUCAGAGUGUGAAUCCUGUUCCUGAAUUGUGUACUUGCACUCACCGAGUGUGUUCCAUAGCUUGAUGGUCUUGUCACGGGAAGCAGAGACAAUCUGACGGUUGUCAACAGAGAAUGCAACAGAGAGAACAUCUUUAGUGUGUCCAACGAAACGACGAGCAGUUGUUCCAGCUUGAAGAUCCCAUAAACGGAGCUCACCGUCCCAUGAACCGGAGAGUGCAAACAUGCCGUCAGACGACAACACGACAUCUUCAACGAAAUGGCCAUGUCCGGUAAGACGGCGACGAGGGACACCGUAUUGUGAGCCGUCUUUAGUCAAAGACCAGACGAUGAUGGACUUAUCCCUGG